AUCAAUCUUAAACCCUAUUUUUUUUUAAAUACGAACCCUAAACCCUGAAACAUGAACUAUAAACCUUAAACCCCGAAACAUCAACUCUAAACCCUAAACCUUCGACUCUAAACCCUAAAACAUCAACUCUAAACCCUAAACCCUAAACUUCAACUCAAAACCCUAAACCAUCAACACUAAACCCUAAACUAUCGACACUAAACCCUAAAUCCUAAAAGUAAACUCUAAACCCUAAACCCUAAAAAAUUAACCCUAAACACUAAAACAUCAACUCUAAACCCUAAACCUUCAACUCUAAACCCUAAACCCUAAAUC
Molecule: long non-coding RNA, 315 nt
Filed under: Brassica napus (rape)
Lineage: Eukaryota; Viridiplantae; Streptophyta; Magnoliopsida; Brassicales; Brassicaceae
Description: long non-coding RNA (BNAP_LNC021461)
Source: RNAcentral